GCGAAGAACCCUUACCCAGGGCUGACAUUGAGUGAAAGGCAUUGGAAACAUGUCCCCCUCUUCGGAGGCACGAAAACAGGUGGUGCAUGGCUGUCGUCAGCUCGUGCCGUGAGGUGUUGGGUAAGUCCCGCAACGAGCGCAACCCCUGCCCCGUGUUGCCCAGCAAGGUAAAAGCUGGGGACUCGCGGGGGACUGCCGCGGAGAACGCGGAGGAAGGCGGGGAUGACGUCAAGUCAUCAUGCCCCCUUAUGUCCUGGGCUACACACGUACUACAAUGGGAUGGACAGAGGGAAGCGAAGGAGCGAUCCGGAGCGGACCCCGGAAAGCAUCCCCCAGUUCGGAUUGCAGGCUGCAACCCGCCUGCAUGAAGUCGGAGUCGCUAGUAAUCGCAGGUCAGCAUACUGCGGUGAAUACGUUCCCGGGCCUUGUACACACCGCCCGUCACACCACGGAAGCCGUUCACGCCCGAAGCCGGGGUCAAACCUGUCGAAGGCAG
Molecule: ribosomal RNA, 496 nt
Filed under: uncultured bacterium
Lineage: Bacteria
Description: bacterial SSU rRNA
Rfam family: Bacterial small subunit ribosomal RNA
Source: RNAcentral